This 523-nucleotide long non-coding RNA is filed under the name Pongo abelii (Sumatran orangutan). Its description in RNAcentral is "lincRNA". Lineage: Eukaryota; Metazoa; Chordata; Mammalia; Primates; Hominidae. The record is from RNAcentral.
AACUUUAGUUAGUAGCUGGUCUCAGUCAGUAACACUCUGGGAGGGCUCAGGCCACAUCACCAAAUGUGCCAGGAUAGCCUUGAACUCAUCAAUUGCUGGGUAAGACAAAGAAUUUUAAUGCAAUGGCAAACAGCCAAUCAAACAAGCAAACAAAAACAACAAACCCUUCCUUGAGGACCAAGAAGCCAUUAAUUAGAUAACCUAAGAGCUCCAGGUGGAGACCUAGGUCCUGAUGGGGUUUCUGAAUUUGACCACUGGGCAGAAAACUAGCACCCAAAACCAGUUAGAAUAAAAUUGCCUACCUUCAGUGGAGCCAAGGCCCCCAGAUCCUUUUUGUCAGGGGCACCUCAAACUCAACUCCAAAAUUGAUCUAAUGAAUUUUCCCAAACCACAUUCCCUUCUUGCAUUUCUAAGAGAAUGGAUUCCCAUUCAUCUGACUACAGUGCUAUCCUGAAAGGAGAUCCGGAGACUAAGAUUCACCUGAGAUCCGGAGACUAAGAUUCACCUGCAGGUGAUUCAUUUG